Molecule: non-coding RNA, 142 nt
Organism: Perognathus longimembris pacificus (Pacific pocket mouse)
Lineage: Eukaryota; Metazoa; Chordata; Mammalia; Rodentia; Heteromyidae
Product: small Cajal body-specific RNA 17
Exons: 1
Source: RefSeq, a predicted model, not a curated record
CUCCUGAGUCCCCGAUGCAGCCCCCAAUGAGCCCCCAGUAUUUUCCUUAUAUGAUCGGGCCCUUUGUGGGCGGCGCCGCUUGCCCGGGCCUGAGAGGAUUAUAAGACGGUGCCUGGCGAAGUGGGGUCCGGGGGACUUGGAG